Molecule: long non-coding RNA, 375 nt
Organism: Etheostoma cragini (Arkansas darter)
Lineage: Eukaryota; Metazoa; Chordata; Actinopteri; Perciformes; Percidae
Exons: 3
Source: RefSeq, a predicted model, not a curated record
ACAGAGUGGAGGGACUGGGAGCGUACGGAGAAGCCCUGCCCACAGGCAAGGGCAUGCAGGUGGGGCAUGGGCAUGCGUUCCUGGGGGUCCGAUAUGGUAAUGGAGCCCAUACAUCACGGGAUGCACCAGUCCACACUGGCAACCCCCAAAAUAUAGCAACCUGCUAUUGCCACAGGGACCCUCUGGCCACUUGUCCUAAUUUCCUACAACCUCUUUCUGAAGUGAACCCAGUGACAUCCUAGCAUUCACAGAGAAGAAUGAGCCCCAGCUCGACUGUACGGUGUGUAACGAAUGUUCUAUUUCUCUCAUUCCUGGCGUGGUCUAAGUUCUGAGCUACCAGGCCGUUGUAGGCUCUUAGCCCAUUCUCCUCAACGU